GGCUUAGAGUUUGAUCAUGGCUCAGGAUGAACGCUGGCGGCGUGCUUAACACAUGCAAGUCGAGCGAAGCGCUUCUGCAGAUUUCUUCGGAAUGAAGCGGAAGUGACUGAGCGGCGGACGGGUGAGUAACGCGUGGGGAACCUGCCCCAUACCGGGGGAUAACAGUUAGAAAUGACUGCUAAUACCGCAUAAGCGCACAGGGACGCAUGUCCUGGUGUGAAAAACUCCGGUGGUAUGGGAUGGACCCGCGUCUGAUUAGGUAGUUGGUGGGGUAAUGGCCCACCAAGCCGACGAUCAGUAGCCGACCUGAGAGGGUGACCGGCCACAUUGGGACUGAGACACGGCCCAAACUCCUACGGGAGGCAGCAGUGGGGAAUAUUGCACAAUGGGGGAAACCCUGAUGCAGCGACGCCGCGUGAAGGAAGAAGUAUUUCGGUAUGUAAACUUCUAUCAGCAGGGAAGAAAAUGACGGUACCUGACUAAGAAGCCCCGGCUAACUACGUGCCAGCAGCCGCGGUAAUACGUAGGGGGCAAGCGUUAUCCGGAUUUACUGGGUGUAAAGGGAGCGUAGACGGAGGAGCAAGUCCGAUGUGAAACUCCGGGGCUUAACCCCGGAACUGCAUUGGAAACUGUUUAUCUGGAGUGCCGGAGGGGUAAGCGGAAUUCCUGGUGUAGCGGUGAAAUGCGUAGAUAUCAGGAGGAACACCGGUGGCGAAGGCGGCUUACUGGACGGUAACUGACGUUGAGGCUCGAAAGCGUGGGGAGCAAACAGGAUUAGAUACCCUGGUAGUCCACGCCGUAAACGAUGACUACUAGGUGUCGGGUAGCAAA
This 831-nucleotide ribosomal RNA is filed under the name uncultured bacterium. Its description in RNAcentral is "bacterial SSU rRNA". It matches the Rfam family "Bacterial small subunit ribosomal RNA", at positions 1 to 834 of the family's 1533-position model. The record is from RNAcentral.